GACGAACGCUGGCGGCGUGCUUAACACAUGCAAGUCGAACGAAGAGCGAUGGAAGCUUGCUUCUAUCAAUCUUAGUGGCGAACGGGUGAGUAACGCGUAAUCAACCUGCCCUUCAGAGGGGGACAACAGUUGGAAACGACUGCUAAUACCGCAUACGAUCUAAUCUCGGCAUCGAGGAUAGAUGAAAGGUGGCCUCUACAUGUAAGCUAUCACUGAAGGAGGGGAUUGCGUCUGAUUAGCUAGUUGGAGGGGUAACGGCCCACCAAGGCGAUGAUCAGUAGCCGGUCUGAGAGGAUGAACGGCCACAUUGGGACUGAGACACGGCCCAGACUCCUACGGGAGGCAGCAGUGGGGAAUCUUCCGCAAUGGACGAAAGUCUGACGGAGCAACGCCGUGUGAGUGAUGACGGCCUUCGGGUUGUAAAGCUCUGUUAAUCGGGACGAAAGGCCUUCUUGCGAACAGUUAGAAGGAUUGACGGUACCGGAAUAGAAAGCCACGGCUAACUACGUG
Molecule: ribosomal RNA, 510 nt
Filed under: uncultured bacterium
Lineage: Bacteria
Description: partial 16S ribosomal RNA
Rfam family: Bacterial small subunit ribosomal RNA
Source: RNAcentral